Symphalangus syndactylus (siamang) is the source of this 3358-nucleotide long non-coding RNA. RefSeq lists it as uncharacterized. The record is from RefSeq and is a predicted model, not a curated record. NCBI's taxonomy places the organism in Eukaryota, Metazoa, Chordata, Mammalia, Primates, Hylobatidae.
UCCCUGUCCUGAGCCUAUGCAAGCUUUCUAGAAGCUCAUACUGUGAAAAGAAUUGCACAGCAUAUGUUUAGACACAGUGCUGGGUUUUCCUUGGGCUUGCUCUUAAGUUUGGGCAAAUGCUCCCUAGUAAUGUGCACAGCUGGGCAUCCCUGAGGCUUGGAGCUGGCAAAACCUUUUGGGAUGGCCUUAUCCCUUGGGUUGCAUGUGGGCAAUGACCCCAGGCUCCAAAUCCCAGCAGAGUCAAAUGGGACCAUACUCCUGGACUCCUGACUUCCUGGAUGCUGCUAUUCUUUCUAUGCAGCUGUCUCACCCUUGUCAUAAUGGGAAACUCAGGGCAUAACAUUCCACUUUACUGCAACUUGGCUUCUCGAAAUAUCUCUUCUCUUCUGUGCAAAGAUCAUGACUCAGUUCUUCCUUCUUCUGUGGACAAUGACAAGACAUUCAGCCAGUCAAGCAAGUCCCAUGGGAAAGCCCCAUUUUGGCCAGCAGAGACAGUUCCUCUUUAUCUCCCGAGAACACUACCCUUUUGCUCCCCUUUCCAGGUAGUCAAACAGCUAACUGUUCACCAGCAGGUUAGCAGCUGAGCCCAGGGCUUUGAGGGACAGAUGACAGCUGGAUGGCUGACCAGCUUGCAGAGAAAGCUUGAAAUCUUGGGCACACAGGGAAUGCAGCAAGAGAUUUUCCCAUUUGGACAUACCGAAGAGUAAGUUCUCUUUGAGAGACUGGUGAGGAGUGAGAUGGGGUAGAAUUCCAGGAAAAGGGGAUGAAGUUUGUUUCUCACGCAAACAUGCCAUCAGCAAGGUAUGGGCUCUAGGCUGAGCUGACAGCAGCAGAUAGGGCUUGAUGAGCAUGACUUCCAGCCUGCAGAGAGAGCUGCAUUCCCGCAAGAAGGGAGCACAUGGCCCCAGAGCAGCUGUAGGCACCAAUGUCCCAGGAAAGAAGCAUUCUGGGGCCAGGAAGAUCCUGCCAAUACUUCACUUAUAUCAUAAUAUUUAAUUCUCAGCCAUUUGUGAAGCUCCAGCAGAUGUGACACAGACUGGAAGUGAUGGACCCAGACAACAAUCAGAACCAAAGCACUAGAUGAGCCACCUCAGCCACAUGAGCCAUGCCAGCCACCCUACCUGUGACCCCACCUGUGGCCCAGUCAUCAUGGAGCAGAGAUACUGCAGAAAAGAAUGAGGCCCUGUACAGUUCACGGCAAUAAAGGCUACAUGAAUUGAGUGCCACGAGGGAGAAAUAAGCAGGCUGAGCUGACCCAGGGAGGCUUCUCAGAGGAGGUGUUUUCGGGAAUCACCCCAAGUCACAAAUGGGAGGCCUCAGCACCCAAGAGGAUGAAAUCAGCCCAGGAUCAUGCCAGCCAGCCCGUGCCACUCACAGCCACUGAAGUGCUUGUCUGAGUCUUGCUGGAAACAUGGGCCCAUGUUAGUGAUUAUGAGCCUUGCAGCAGCAGACUCAAAGCUUUCUCUGCUGAGAAGUUUCCAGCAGUUCCAUCAGUGUGAGCCGGGAACUGAUGACCUCAACGACCUGGAGCAUGUCCCUAGAGCACAGAAAGCAAAGGACCAUCUCUGCAGGCAAAGCAGGAGUGGUGCCUGCCAGUAUCUGCUAAAGGAAGUCGGAAUGUGCAGGUGCUGGGUCCGCAGUCACUGCUAAAUGAAGAUGGAAUGUGCGGGUGCUGGGCACAGCGCUGGGCCUGCGUUCACUGCUAAAUGAAGAUGGAAUGUGUGGGUGCUGGGCACGGUGCUGGACCCACGGUCACUAUUAAAUGAAGACAGAAUGUGUGGGUGCUGGGCACAGCACUGGGCCCAUGGUCACUAUUAAAUGAAGAUGGAAUGUGGGUGCUGGGCAUGGUGCUGGGCCCAUGGUCACUGCUAAAUGAAGAUGGAAUAUGUGGGUGCUGGGCACAGCGCUGGGCCCACGUUCACUGCUAAAUGAAGAUGGAAUGUGUGGGUGCUGGGCCUGUGGUCACUGUGAAGUGGUGGGGCGGGGCUGUUUCUACCUCACUGCUGCCCUGUCCCCACUAGGCUUGCUCUGGCCUUCCUGUUGCCUGGUGCCUUCCCUUUCUUGCUGCUUCAGAACAGGCAGGAUAAUCUCUCUCCAGGGCAACGAAUGCACUUGGGCCAGGGACUCCUCACCACCAGCUUGAGGGGCUGUGCCCAACUCCGCCUCCUUCAGGAGGGUGUCCCAAGUUCUGUCCUUGCCUAAGCAGCCGGCACCCAUGCUCAAAAUAUUUAUUGCCCUCAUGCCAGCUGCUCUCCCACUUGUCCUGUCAAAGGGAGAGUGGGGGCCUGGGGGAUCUUGCUGCAUCCCAGCCCAAGCCCAUCAGAUGUGGGGAAUUUUGCCCCUCUGACCCUGCUCCUCAUGAGGCACAGGCUGCGUGAUGUGACAGCCCCAGCACUACCUGAGCCCGUGGGACUCAGCUCUUCAUCCUCUCAGGGCCUCUUUUGGUCUAGGUGCCCAGGGCACUGAGAGGGACCUGGAGUGACAGGAACACAUGACCCAUGGAGCAGAGGUGGAGCAGCCGCUCGGAGUGGCUGUGUGCCCUCCCUGGGUGUCAUUCCCUCUCUCUUGUCCUACGAGCUUGGGGUGCCCAUGCUUGAGGCAGGAGGCUGUGUGCUCCUGGGAGCUGGCCAUGGUGCCAUCUUCCAGGACCAUUUCUCAUGCCUCCUAGUUUCCAGUCCAUCCUGACUCCCCUCCUUCUGGGUCCUCCGCGGCACAAUGAUAUAUUUCAUAUUUCUAUGAAAGGGGUGUCAUGUCUCAGCCCCCACACUGGCACACACACACACACACACACACACACAUAUAUAUAUAUAUUUUUUGCCAAGUAAGUCAGCUUGGACUCAAAUGUCAGUUUCUUUGAACAGAUUUGUCAAUGACUUCAAAUUAAACUCUCCCAUUUGAGGAAUGGCAGGUGCUGCCCUUAAUAUAUCUUGCAGGCCUGUGAGUGACAGGUGUGGGGCCUGUUCACCUCAGAUCAACCCUCUGGGCCUUGGUGAUUGCAUCUGUACAAUGAGCAUCACAAACAUCCUGCCACCUCAGACACCCUGAGAUUGUAAAAUGAGGUGAAAACUUGCUGAGCAAGGGAAAUGAUCCGUUAGCAAGGACAUAGGCAUCCUCUCCCAAGCUCUUAGCUCUUGUCGAGGUUCCCAAGAGCGCACCUCUAUAAAAGUUCUAAAUCUGAAGGCGUUCAACUCAUUAGCCAGGAAAAACACCUUCUUGCUCACUCUUGUCAGACUUUAGAAUGUCAGCAUAUGAACAAGCUGGAAUUUAUAUUCAUAGUGUUGGCCGCUGUUUGGCACUUGCUUGGAUUUUGAGAUAUGAAUUAUACUUGUGAGCGUGUCCUGCUCUAGGGCUUAAGUUA